AUGGAAGUGUCAAAGGAAUCUGCAAAUAAAAGAAAAUAUCAUUCGAGUUACUUAUUGAUAGUUGUGUGGCAUGGAGAGCGUUCGAUGGUUUGAAAAGAUUGUAACAUUUUUGACACAAUCAUGGCUAUAAAGGGUGAGAUACUCGAUUCUGGUGCACGAGGACCGACGAUGGACGGAUGAUACUUGGAUAUACGACUGAGAAGCUCGUUCAGAUUGUCGAGCAGACUACCGGCGUAGAAACAAAGUCUUGGAAACUUUUGCUGCUUUGUCGGAGGAUGCGUGUACCUCCAAGUCACGGCUCGUAGCAUUUUAUUUCAUGACGCUCUCGUUGCGCUUUGUUAUGCUCUCCAGCUUCGUGUAAGCCGUCAGGAAGGCGCCGUUUAAAACUGCCGCUGCCACCAUUGAGCAAUGUCUAACACGAACGAAAG
Molecule: long non-coding RNA, 428 nt
Organism: Frieseomelitta varia
Lineage: Eukaryota; Metazoa; Arthropoda; Insecta; Hymenoptera; Apidae
Exons: 3
Source: RefSeq, a predicted model, not a curated record